CAGUCAAUGAAAUUUCCGGCCAAUGAAAUGCUCUACUGUGACUGAAGCAGCAAAGAGAAGAUGGGUGGCUUUGAAAUCAGAAUUGGAUGCAGAGGGAGUCCCAGAGGCCAACACUGUGAACAUAAGAAGGGAAAGACCAGUUCUGCAAGCACAGAUGUAAUUUUGAGAAGCAGAGCUACAGUUCUGCCGGAGGCCUCUCCAGAUUGUGAUGCACUGGGAGCAAGCCACCAUGAACAUAUCCUCAGGUCUCCAGUCUUCUGCCAUCGCAUGAAAAAUGGAGCUUGUCAAACACAGAGCAGAGCUGAACUUUCUGAAUUCCACAGGACAGUUCAGAGUGCUUGGAAUGACACCCACCUGCAAUUUAAACAAAAAAGAAGGAUGAGUAAGUGAGGAGCUAAAAAUUGCAUGUUUCCCUAAAUUAGAUUUAUUUGUAAGCUUUAAGUAAGUGCAAACAUAUUUCGAAUUAUCUGUUAUGAAUUGUGGUUUUGUUAUUAAAUAGACAUUUUGUUUAAUUCUU
Molecule: long non-coding RNA, 517 nt
Filed under: Homo sapiens (human)
Lineage: Eukaryota; Metazoa; Chordata; Mammalia; Primates; Hominidae
Description: novel transcript
Source: RNAcentral